CCUACGGGAGGCAGCAGUGAGGAAUCUUCUACAAUGGGGGAAACCCUGAUGGAGCAACGCCGCGUGCAGGAUGAAGGCCUUCGGGUUGUAAACUGCUUUUAUAAGUGAAGAAUAUGACGGUAACUUAUGAAUAAGCACCGGCUAACUACGUGCCAGCAGCCGCGGUAAUACGUAGGAGGCGAGCGUUAUCCGGAUUUACUGGGCG
RNAcentral lists this ribosomal RNA (205 nucleotides) under uncultured bacterium. RNAcentral describes it as "partial 16S ribosomal RNA". It matches the Rfam family "Bacterial small subunit ribosomal RNA", at positions 338 to 560 of the family's 1533-position model. The record is from RNAcentral.